CGGCGAACGGGUGAGUAACACGUGGGCAACCUGCCCUCAGCUCUGGGAUAACCCCGGGAAACCGGGGCUAAUACCGGAUAUGACCUCGCAAGACAUCUUGCAGGGUGGAAAGAUUUAUCGGCUGAGGAUGGGCCCGCGGCCUAUCAGCUUGUUGGUGAGGUAACGGCUUACCAAGGCGACGACGGGUAGCCGGCCUGAGAGGGCGAUCGGCCACACUGGGACUGAGACACGGCCCAG
RNAcentral lists this ribosomal RNA (237 nucleotides) under uncultured bacterium. Its description in RNAcentral is "partial 16S ribosomal RNA". It matches the Rfam family "Bacterial small subunit ribosomal RNA", at positions 96 to 334 of the family's 1533-position model. The record is from RNAcentral.